Non-coding RNA from Oryctolagus cuniculus (rabbit), 1586 nucleotides. NCBI's taxonomy places the organism in Eukaryota, Metazoa, Chordata, Mammalia, Lagomorpha, Leporidae. The record is from RefSeq and is a predicted model, not a curated record.
GUGGCUGCGAGAGGCGGCUCCCGCUCUCCCGCCCGCCCAAGGGGGGCGGCCGGCCCGGGGCGGCAAGCCCCCACCCACCCCCAGCUCGGGGCCCUGGCCUUCUCGCCUCAACGCCCACCCUUCUGCAGUCGUGUGCUGGCCUCCAGCGCGCGGACCCCAGGGCGGCGGCGCCAAGCGGGGCGCUGCCUGCGCUCACCGCCCCCCACCCCGGUCCUCCUCCCCGAACCGCUCCAAACAAACACGCCAUUUAAACGGCAUCCGGGCUCGCCAUACCCACAACUCCCGGGGCAGAGCCCACCCGUCCCAGCGCCCUCGCCCGGGUGGGGGCGGGGGCGCGCGGAAAGCAGCAGCUCUCUCUCUACCCCCUCCUCCUGGCGCGCCCUCCUUCCCAGGAGGAAGGUCACGGCUGCACCCAUUACCCUGCUCUCUCCACACCGCCUCCCAGCCCCGCCCUGCCCCCAAAGGAGGGCACAGCACAGAAGCACUCCCCGGGGGGGGGGGGGGCUUUGCGUGAACCCGCUGUCCCUUCACAGACACCCCAGGGCAGCCCCAUCUUGCCCCUGAAGUGGGGGGAGUGUCACAUGUCAACCCCACGACAAAAGGGCAGUCCAGCCACCUGCACCACUGCCUGGGAGCCUGCACUGACAGCCGGCCUGGGACGGACAGCCACUGGUCCACCACCACCCACCUCCAGCUCUCUCCGGGUGGGGCCUGGUGGCCGGAAGCACUGGCCUCGCGAGGGGCCACCUUGCCACUGCACUGCUCCCCAGGAGGACCUGGAGCUGCCCCGGGGAGCUUCCUGCGCACAGACGAGAUCUGCCUUUGGUUUCUCGUCCCAGUCGCCACGCCAACACCGGGGCGCCCGGAAUCAAGCCGGUCCCAACAGCUCUCGUGUCUGGCCCAGGGAGAGCAGACUACUUUCUGCAUAGUCUCUCCUACUGUCAGACCCUUCUAGAACCCCCUCCCAGCUGCCUCCCAGUCACUCGGCAUCUGGGGGCAGAGGGCCUAGUCCAGCUGGACGUAGGCGGACUUGGCCUGACCCCAGACCCGCCUGGUUCUGCGAAGCUGCAGCCCCCACCCCCAAGGCUGAGCUCUCUUCCUCCACGGGCGACAACUCUGGAUUCAUGACAGGCAGACUGGCCCACUGUGAGCGCUCCUGGGUGCAGGGGUUGGGGGAGGGUCUGGCUUUGGGGGUACGGGGUGUUCUUACCUGGCCCUGUGCCUAUCCUGUAAAUGCGCUCUGGGUUCAAAUCUGGGACUGCAGUGAGGUCCGCCCCCAGAGGCAGCUGCGGGAUGCCUGCGUGUUCCCCAGGCGCUGCUGCGCUAAGUAAGCACCUCCCAGCCCAGCCCUGCGGACCACAACUCCUGCGGGAAGAGCUCAGCCCUCGGGGACUCCUGCUUCUGCUGGCUCCUGGGAGCCAGGCUCCGGGAAGGGCCCCCUCCGGGACCAGGAUCCUGCCUCUGUGUCCCCAAGCCCCUUGGACUCAGAACCCGUGGCCCGGCAGCAGCUUGGGCCACCACCCUCAAGAUUCUGCACUGGGUAUUCGCUCCCUGGCAGCAACACGGAUAAAAAGUGGUUUCCUGCG